This 325-nucleotide long non-coding RNA is filed under the name Medicago truncatula (barrel medic). RNAcentral's name for it is "lncRNA gene41716". The record is from RNAcentral. Lineage: Eukaryota; Viridiplantae; Streptophyta; Magnoliopsida; Fabales; Fabaceae.
UGUCUCCUACACAUACAUCUAAUGAGAGUUUAUGUUUAAGAUUCGAGUUAAAAGGUUGACAUUUUUUUGAAGGAAGUUAAAAGGUUGACAUAUUAAAAUAACAAAUUUAUGGCCUAUGAUGCUAUAUAAUCCUCCGUCUCAAAAUGUAAGUAAAAUUGGAUCAACAUAAAUGAAUGUAUUUGGUACAAAUUUUGAAUCAAAUAUAUUAAAUUUUGUUGACCAAAUUUUACUUAUAUUUUAGGAUAAAAUAAGUAAUACGCAACAUCCAAAUCAUAGAAAUCACGAAUCAUGUCAUAUUUUAAGUAAUGAAUAAAUUGUUUUUACA